CCUACGGGAGGCAGCAGUCGGGAAUAUUGCGCAAUGGAGGAAACUCUGACGCAGGGACGCCGCGUGCAGGAAGAAGGUUUUCGGAUGGUAAACUGCUUUAGACAGGGAAGAAAAAAGACAGGACCAGGAGAAUAAGCGCCGGCUAACUAAGUGCCAGCAGCCGCGGUAAUACGGAGGGAGCAAGCGUGAUCCGGAUUGAUUGGGUGUAAAGGGUGCGUAGACGGCGAAGCAAGUUAGUGGUGAAAUCCCUCGGCUGAACUGAGGAACUGCAACUAAAACUACUUCCCUUGAGUACUGGAGAGGACAGUGGCCUUCCUCGUGUCGCGGUGCACUGCGUAGAUAUUAGGAG
RNAcentral lists this ribosomal RNA (349 nucleotides) under uncultured bacterium. RNAcentral describes it as "partial 16S ribosomal RNA". It matches the Rfam family "Bacterial small subunit ribosomal RNA", at positions 338 to 703 of the family's 1533-position model. The record is from RNAcentral.